UACAGAGGCUGCAAGCGUUAUUCGGAUUCACUGGGCGUAAAGGGUGCGCAGGCGGCCGAGUGUGUGAGGCGUGAAAGCCCGGGGCUUAACCCCGGAAUUGCACCUCAAACUACACGGCUAGAGCAUUGGAGAGGGUAGCAGAAUUCAUGGUGUAGCAGUGAAAUGCGUAGAUAUCAUGAGGAAUACCAGAGGCGAAGGCGGCUACCUGGACAAUUGCUGACGCUCAGGCACGAAAGCGUGGGGAGCAAACAGG
Molecule: ribosomal RNA, 253 nt
Filed under: uncultured bacterium
Lineage: Bacteria
Description: partial 16S ribosomal RNA
Rfam family: Bacterial small subunit ribosomal RNA
Source: RNAcentral